AAAGUUCAGUUUAGGGUUUAAACCCUAAUGCUGACUAAAGGAAAGAGUUCAGUUUAGGGUUUAAAACCCUAACUGCUGACUGGAUGGAAAAGUUCAGUUUAGGGUUUAAAACCCUAAUGCUGACUAAAGGGAAAGAGUUCAGUUUAGGGAUUAAAAUCCUAAUGCUGACUGAAAGGAAAAGUUCAGUUUAGGGUUUAAAACCCUAAUGCUGACUGAAAGGAAAAAUUUCAGUUUAGGGUUUAAAACCCUAAUGCUGACUAAAGGGAAAGAGUUCAGUUUAGGGUUUAAAACCCUACUGCUGACUGAAUGGAAAAAGUUCAGUUUAGGGUUUAAAACCCUAAUGCUGACUAAAGGGAAAGAGUUCAGUUUAGGGUUUAAAAUCCUAAUGCUGACUGAAAGGGAAAAAGUUCAGUUUAGGGUUUAAAACCCUAAUGCUGACUGAAAGGAAAAGUUCAGUUUAGGGUUUAAAACCCUAAUGCUGACUAAAGGGAAAGAGUUCAGUUUAGGGUUUAAAACCCUAAUGUUGACUGAAAGGAAAAGUUCAGUUUAGGGUUUAAAACCCUAAUACUGACUGAAUGGAAAAAGCUCAGUUUAGGGUUUAAAACCCUAAUGCUGACUGAAAGGAAAGUUCAGUUUAGGGUUUAAAACCCUAAUGCUAACUAAAAGGAAAAGUUCAGUUUAGGGUUUAAAACCCUAAUGCUGACUUAAAGGAAAAGUUAAGUUUAGGGUUUAAAACCCUAAUGCUGACUAAAAGGAAAAUUCAGUUUAGGGUUUAAAACCCUAAUGCUGAUUACAUGGAAAAGCUCAGUUUAGGGCUUAAAACCCUAAUGCUGGCUGAAUGGAAAAAAGUUCAGUUUAGGGUUUAAAAUCCUAAUGCUGACUAAAAGGAAAAUUCAGUUUAGGGCUUAAAACCCUAAUGCUGAUUACAUGGAAAAGCUCAGUUUAGGGUUUAAAACCCUAAUGCUGGCUGAUUGGAAAAAAGUUCUGUUUAGGGUUUAAAACCCUAAUGCUGACUAAAAGGAAAAUUCAGUUUAGGGUUUAAAACCCUAAUGCUGAUUACAUGGAAAAGCUCAGUUUAGGGUUAAAACCCUAAUGUUGGCUGAAAGGAAAAAAGUUCAGUUUAGGGUUUAAAACCCUAAAGCCGGCUAAAGGAAAAAUUCAGUUUAGGGUUUAAAACCCUAAUGCUGAUUGAAUGGAAAAGCUCAAUUUAGGGUUUAAAACCCUAAUGCUGGCUGAAUGGAAAAAAGUUCAGUUUAGGGUUUAAAACCCUAAUGCUGACUGGAAAGAAAAGCUCAGUUUAGGGUUUAAAACCCUAAUGCUGGCUAAAGGAAAAAUUCAGUUUAGGGUUUAAAACCCUAAUGUUGAUCGCAUGGAAAAGCUCAGUUUAGGGUUUAAAACCAUAAUGCUGGCUGAAUGGAAAAAAGUUCAGUUUAGGGUUUAAAACCCUAAUGCUGACUAAAAGGAAAAUUCAGUUUAGGGUUUAAAACCCUAAUGCUGAUUGCAUGGAAAAGCUCAGUUUAGGGUUUAAAACCCUAAUGCUGGCUGAAUGGAAAAGUUCAGUUUAAGGUUUAAAACCCUAAUGCUGACUGCAUGGAAAAGCUCAGUUUAGGGUUUAAAUCCCUAAUGCCGACUAAAGGAAAAAUUCAGUUUAGGGUUUAAAACCUUAAUGCUGACUGAAAGGAAAAAUUCAGUUUAGGGUUUAAAACCCUAAUGCUGACUGAAAGGAAAAUUCAGUUUAGGGUUUAAAACCCUAAUGCCGACUGGAAGGAAAAGCUCAGUUUGGGGUUUAAAACCCUAAUGCUGGCUGAAUAGGAAAAAGUUCAGUUUAGGGUUUAAAACCCUAAUGCUGACUAAAGGAAAAAUUCAGUUUAGGGUUUUAAACCCUAAUGCUGACUGAAAGGAAAAGCUCAGUUUAUGGUUUAAAACCCUAAUGCUGACUGAAAGGAAAAUUCAGUUUAGGGUUUAAAACCCUAAUGCCGACUGGAAGGAAAAGCUCAGUUUGGGGUUUAAAACCCUAAUGCUGGCUGAAUGGAAAAAAGUUCAGUUUAGGGUUUAAAACCCUAAUGCUGAAUGGAAGGAAAAGCUCAGUUUAGGGUUUAAAACCCUAAUGCUGACUAAAAGGAAAAAUUUAGUUUAGGGUUUAAAACCCUAAUGCUGACUAAAAGGAAAAGCUCAGUUUAGGGUUUAAAACCCUAAUGCUGAUUACACGAAAAAUUCAGUUUAGUGUUUAAAACCCUAAUGCUGAUCGCAUGGAAAAGCUCAGUUUAGGGUUUAAAACCCUAAUGCUGGCUGAAUGGAAAAAGUUUAGUUUAGGG
Molecule: long non-coding RNA, 2315 nt
Filed under: Nicotiana tabacum (common tobacco)
Lineage: Eukaryota; Viridiplantae; Streptophyta; Magnoliopsida; Solanales; Solanaceae
Description: long non-coding RNA (NTAB_LNC003381)
Source: RNAcentral